Molecule: ribosomal RNA, 457 nt
Filed under: uncultured bacterium
Lineage: Bacteria
Description: partial 16S ribosomal RNA
Rfam family: Bacterial small subunit ribosomal RNA
Source: RNAcentral
GGUGAACGCUGGCGACGUGCCUAAUACAUGCAAGUCGUACGGAAAGGCCCUUCGGGGUACUCGAGUGGCGGACGGCUGAGUAACGCGUGGGAACGUGCCCCAAAGUGAGGGAUAACGCACCGAAAGGUGUGCUAAUACCGCAUAUGGUCUUCGGAUUAAAGCUUCGGCGCUUUGGGAGCGGCCCGCGUACGAUUAGAUAGUUGGUGAGGUAAUGGCUCACCAAGUCGACGAUCGUUAGCUGGUCUGAGAGGAUGAUCAGCCAGACUGGGACUGAGACGCGGCCCAGACUCCUACGGGAGGCAGCAGUAAGGAAUCUUCCACAAUGGGGGCAACCUUGAUGGAGCAACGCCGCGUGCAGGAUGAAGGUUUUCGGAUCGUAAACUGCUUUUAUAAGUGAAGAAUAUGACGGUAACUUAUGAAUAAGGAUCGGCUAACUACGUGCCAGCCGCCGCAGUAA